Molecule: ribosomal RNA, 348 nt
Filed under: uncultured bacterium
Lineage: Bacteria
Description: partial 16S ribosomal RNA
Rfam family: Bacterial small subunit ribosomal RNA
Source: RNAcentral
CCUACGGGUGGCUGCAGUGGGGAAUAUUGGGCAAUGGAGGCAACUCUGACCCAGCAACGCCGCGUGAGUGAUGAAGGUCUUCGGAGUGUAAAACUCUGUAAGUGGGGACGAAGAAAGUGACGGUACCCACAGAAUAAGCCGCGGCUAACUACGUGCCAGCAGCCGCGGUAAGACGUAGGAGGCAAGCGUUCUCCGGAAUGACUGGGCGUAAAGGGGGCGUAGGUGGUUCGGCAAGUUCGUAGCGUAAUUCCGGGGCUCAACCGCGGAACUACUACUAAAACUGUUGGGCUUGAGUGCAGGGGGGGCAUCUGGCAUUCCUAGUGUCGCGGUGUAAUGCGUAGAUAUUAG